UGGGGAAUAUUGGGCAAUGGAGGCAACUCUGACCCAGCAACGCCGCGUGAAUGAUGAAGGUCUUCGGAUUGUAAAGUUCUGUGAUGGGGGACGAAGAAAGUGACGGUACCCCAAUAGCAAGCUACGGCUAACUACGUGCCAGCAGCCGCGGUAAUACGUAGGUAGCAAGCGUUGUCCGGAAUGACUGGGCGUAAAGGGUGCGUAGGUGGCUUAACAAGUUGGUAGUGAAAUUCCGAGGCUUAACUUCGGCGCUACUACCAAGACUGUUGAGCUUGAGUACAGGAGAGGUAAGUGGAAUUCCUAGUGUAGCGGUGGAAUGCGUAGAUAUUAGGAGGAACACCAGUGGCGAAGGCGACUUACUGGCCUGCAACUGACACUGAGGCACGAAAGCGUGGGGAGCAAACAGG
Molecule: ribosomal RNA, 407 nt
Filed under: uncultured bacterium
Lineage: Bacteria
Description: bacterial SSU rRNA
Rfam family: Bacterial small subunit ribosomal RNA
Source: RNAcentral